Molecule: ribosomal RNA, 492 nt
Filed under: uncultured bacterium
Lineage: Bacteria
Description: partial 16S ribosomal RNA
Rfam family: Bacterial small subunit ribosomal RNA
Source: RNAcentral
AGUGAACGCUGGCGGUAUGCCUAACACAUGCAAGUCGAACGGCAGCACAGUAAUAGCUGGCUCUUACGGUUGGCAAGUGGCGGACGGCUGGGGAGUACACUGGAAUCUACUUUGUCGUGGGGGAUAACGUAGGGAAACUUACGCUAAUACCGCACACGACCUGCGUGUGAAAUCAGGAGAUCUUUGCACCUUGCGCUAAGGAAUCAGCCGAUGUCGGAUUAGCUAGUUGGCGGGGUAAAGGCCCACCAAGGCGACGAUCCGUAGCUGGUCUGAGAGGAUGAUCAGCCACACUGGAACUGAGACACGGUCCAGACUCCUACGGGAGGCAGCAGUGGGGAAUAUUGGACAAUGGGCGCAAGCCUGAUCCAGCCAUACCGCGUGGGUGAAGAAGGCCUUCGGGUUGUAAAGCCCUUUUGUUGGGAAAGAAAAGCAGCAGGUUAAUACCCCGCUGUUCUGACGGUACCCAAAGAAUAAGCACCGGCUAACUUCGUG